This 251-nucleotide ribosomal RNA is filed under the name uncultured bacterium. RNAcentral describes it as "partial 16S ribosomal RNA". It matches the Rfam family "Bacterial small subunit ribosomal RNA", at positions 524 to 776 of the family's 1533-position model. The record is from RNAcentral.
GACAGAGGGUGCAAACGUUGUUCGGAAUUACUGGGCGUAAAGCGCAUGUAGGCGGUCUAGCAGGUCGGAUGUGAAAGCCCUCGGCUCAACCGAGGAAGUGCAUCGAAACCGCAAGACUCGAGUCCCGGAGAGGGUAGUGGAAUUCUCGGUGUAGAGGUGAAAUUCGUAGAUAUCGAGAGGAACACCAGUGGCGAAGGCGACUUACUGGACACAUAUUGACGCUGAGGUGCGAAAGCGUGGGAGCAACAGGG